UACGUAGGGGGCAAGCGUUGUCCGGAAUCAUUGGGCGUAAAGCGCGUGUAGGCGGUCCGGUAAGUCCGCUGUGAAAGUCGGGGGCUCAACCCUCGGAUGCCGGUGGAUACUGUCGGGCUUGAGUACGGAAGAGGCGAGUGGAAUUCCUGGUGUAGCGGUGAAAUGCGCAGAUAUCAGGAGGAACACCAAUUGCGAAGGCAGCUCGCUGGGACGGUACUGACGCUGAGAAGCGAAAGCAUGGGGAGCGAACAGG
Molecule: ribosomal RNA, 253 nt
Filed under: uncultured bacterium
Lineage: Bacteria
Description: partial 16S ribosomal RNA
Rfam family: Bacterial small subunit ribosomal RNA
Source: RNAcentral